RNAcentral lists this ribosomal RNA (406 nucleotides) under uncultured bacterium. RNAcentral's name for it is "partial 16S ribosomal RNA". It matches the Rfam family "Bacterial small subunit ribosomal RNA", at positions 30 to 526 of the family's 1533-position model. The record is from RNAcentral.
AUUGAACGCUGGCGGCAGGCUUAACACAUGCAAGUCGAGCGAGCGGCGGACGGGUGAGUAAUGUCUGGGAAACUGCCUGAUGGAGGGGGAUCAAUACUGGAAAAGGUGGCUAAUACCGCAUACCAUCAGAUGUGCCCAGAUGGGAUUAGCUAGUAGGUGGGGUAAUGGCUCACCUAGGCGACGAUCCCUAGCUGGUCUGAGAGGAUGACCAGCCACAAUGGAACGGAGAAACGGUCCAGACGCCUACGUGAGGCAGCAGUGGGGAAUAUUGCACAAUGGGCGCAAGCCUGAUGCAGCCAAGCCGCGUGUGUUAAGAAGGCCUUCGGGUUGUAAAGCACUUUCAGCGAGGAGGCGUGACUCGCAGAGGGAGCACCGGCUAACUCCGUGCCAGCAGCCGCGGUAAUAC